Acanthosepion pharaonis is the source of this 110-nucleotide non-coding RNA. Lineage: Eukaryota; Metazoa; Mollusca; Cephalopoda; Sepiida; Sepiidae. The record is from the annotation of a GenBank genome assembly.
GGUCACAUCAUGUUGAGACAUCGGUUCCCGUACAAUCACUGAAGUUAAGCAACGUCAAGCCUGGUCAGUACCUAGAUGAGUGUCCGUUUGGAAAUACCAGGUGCUGUAAG